This 503-nucleotide ribosomal RNA is filed under the name Alkalibacillus almallahensis. RNAcentral's name for it is "bacterial SSU rRNA". It matches the Rfam family "Bacterial small subunit ribosomal RNA", at positions 724 to 1230 of the family's 1533-position model. Lineage: Bacteria; Bacillati; Bacillota; Bacilli; Caryophanales; Bacillaceae. The record is from RNAcentral.
GCUCUCUGGUCUGUACUGACGCUGAGGCGCGAAAGCAUGGGUAGCGAACAGGAUUAGAUACCCUGGUAGUCCAUGCCGUAAACGUUGAGUGCUAGGUGUUAGGGGGUCCAACCCUUAGUGCUGCAGUUAACGCAAUAAGCACUCCGCCUGGGGAGUACGGCCGCAAGGCUGAAACUCAAAGGAAUUGACGGGGGCCUGCACAAGCGGUGGAGCAUGUGGUUUAAUUCGACGCAACGCGAAGAACCUUACCAGGUCUUGACAUCUUCGGACAGCCCAAGAGAUUGGGUCUUCCCUUCGGGGACCGAAUGACAGGUGGUGCAUGGUUGUCGUCAGCUCGUGUCGUGAGAUGUUGGGUUAAGUCCCGUAACGAGCGCAACCCCUGAUCUUAGUUGCCAGCAUUCAGUUGGGCACUCUAGGAUGACUGCCGGUGACAAACCGGAGGAAGGCGGGGAUGACGUCAAAUCAUCAUGCCCCUUAUGACCUGGGCUACACACGUGCUACAA